UAGCAGACUGUUGUUUGUGGAUUCUGAGGGUAUGUAGCAGACUGUUGUUUGUGGAUUCUGAGGGUAUGUAGCAGACUGUUUGUUUAUUCUGAAGGUAUGUAGCAGACUGUUUGUUUAUUCUGAAGGUAUGUAGCAGACUGUUGUUUGUGGAUUCUGAGGGUAUGUAGCAGACUGUUGUUUGUGGAUUCUGAGGGUAUGUAGCAGACUGUUGUUUGUUUAUUCUGAAGGUAUGUAGCAGACUGUUGUUUAUUCUGAAGGUAUGUAGCAGACUGUUUGUUUAUUCUGAAGGUAUGUAGCAGACUGUUUGUUUAUUCUGAAGGUAUGUAGCAGACUGUUGUUUAUUCUGAGGGUAUGUAGCAGACU
RNAcentral lists this long non-coding RNA (363 nucleotides) under Oncorhynchus mykiss (rainbow trout). RNAcentral's name for it is "lncRNA (ENSOMYG00000063484.1)". The record is from RNAcentral. Lineage: Eukaryota; Metazoa; Chordata; Actinopteri; Salmoniformes; Salmonidae.